GUAGGGACCAAGCGUUGUUCGGAUCUACUGGGCGUAAAGGGCGCGUAGGCGGCAAUUCAAGUCAGCUGUGAAAUCUCCGGGCUCAACUCGGAACGGUCAGCUGAUACUGCUUUGCUAGAGUGCAGAAGGGGCAAUCGGAAUUCUUGGUGUAGCGGUGAAAUGCGUAGAUAUCAAGAGGAACACCUGAGGUGAAGACGGGUUGCUGGGCUGACACUGACGCUGAGGCGCGAAAGCUAGGGUAGCAAACGGGAUUAGAUACCCCGGUAGUCCUAGCCCUAAACGAUGAAUACUUGGUGUCUGGAGUUUUUAUCCUCCGGGUGCCGUCGCUAACGUUUUAAGUAUUCCGCCUGGGGAGUACGCACGCAAGUGUG
This 371-nucleotide ribosomal RNA is filed under the name uncultured organism. RNAcentral's name for it is "bacterial SSU rRNA". It matches the Rfam family "Bacterial small subunit ribosomal RNA", at positions 527 to 896 of the family's 1533-position model. The record is from RNAcentral.